UUGCUCAUUUUGGCAGCCCAUAUUCUAAAAUUGAAAUGAUAUAGAAAAGACUGGCCCCUGUGCAAGGAUGACAGACAAAUUCAUGAAGUGUCACAUAUUUUG
Molecule: small nuclear RNA, 102 nt
Organism: Vulpes vulpes (red fox)
Lineage: Eukaryota; Metazoa; Chordata; Mammalia; Carnivora; Canidae
Source: Ensembl